Molecule: ribosomal RNA, 581 nt
Filed under: Pichia kudriavzevii
Lineage: Eukaryota; Fungi; Ascomycota; Pichiomycetes; Pichiales; Pichiaceae
Description: eukaryotic LSU rRNA
Rfam family: Eukaryotic large subunit ribosomal RNA
Source: RNAcentral
ACCAUCAGGGAUUGCCUCAGUAGCGGCGAGUGAAGCGGCAAGAGCUCAGAUUUGAAAUCGUGCUUUGCGGCACGAGUUGUAGAUUGCAGGUUGGAGUCUGUGUGGAAGGCGGUGUCCAAGUCCCUUGGAACAGGGCGCCCAGGAGGGUGAGAGCCCCGUGGGAUGCCGGCGGAAGCAGUGAGGCCCUUCUGACGAGUCGAGUUGUUUGGGAAUGCAGCUCCAAGCGGGUGGUAAAUUCCAUCUAAGGCUAAAUACUGGCGAGAGACCGAUAGCGAACAAGUACUGUGAAGGAAAGAUGAAAAGCACUUUGAAAAGAGAGUGAAACAGCACGUGAAAUUGUUGAAAGGGAAGGGUAUUGCGCCCGACAUGGGGAUUGCGCACCGCUGCCUCUCGUGGGCGGCGCUCUGGGCUUUCCCUGGGCCAGCAUCGGUUCUUGCUGCAGGAGAAGGGGUUCUGGAACGUGGCUCUUCGGAGUGUUAUAGCCAGGGCCAGAUGCUGCGUGCGGGGACCGAGGACUGCGGCCGUGUGGUCACGGAUGCUGGCAGAUCGGCGCAUCACCGCCCGUCUGGAAACACGGACCA